GGCUGCCUACGGGGGGCAGCAGUGAGGAAUAUUGGUCAAUGGGCGGGAGCCUGAACCAGCCAAGUCGCGUGAGGGAAGAAGGUACUGAGUAUUGUAAACCUCUUUUGCCAGGGGACAAAGGCGGCCACGGGUGGCCGUAAGAGGGUACCUGGAGAAAAAGCAUCGGCUAACUCCGUGCCAGCAGCCGCGGUAAUACGGAGGAUGCGAGCGUUAUCCGGAUUUACUGGGUGUAAAGGGCGUGCAGCCGGGAAGACAAGUCAGAUGUGAAAUCCCGCGGCUCAACCGCGGAACUGCAUUUGAAGCUG
This 305-nucleotide ribosomal RNA is filed under the name uncultured bacterium. RNAcentral describes it as "bacterial SSU rRNA". It matches the Rfam family "Bacterial small subunit ribosomal RNA", at positions 333 to 635 of the family's 1533-position model. The record is from RNAcentral.